RNAcentral lists this microRNA (17 nucleotides) under Pteropus alecto (black flying fox). RNAcentral's name for it is "pal-miR-10003-5p". Lineage: Eukaryota; Metazoa; Chordata; Mammalia; Chiroptera; Pteropodidae. The record is from miRBase by way of RNAcentral.
UGGAGGCUUCAGCCGGG